This 253-nucleotide ribosomal RNA is filed under the name uncultured bacterium. RNAcentral's name for it is "partial 16S ribosomal RNA". It matches the Rfam family "Bacterial small subunit ribosomal RNA", at positions 524 to 776 of the family's 1533-position model. The record is from RNAcentral.
UACGUAGGCAGCGAGCGUUGUUCGGAGUUACUGGGCGUAAAGGGUGUGUAGGCGGUUUUCUAAGUUUGGUGGGAAAUCUCCCGGCUCAACCGGGAGGGUGCGCCGAAAACUGGGAGACUAGAGUGCGGGAUGGGAGAGUAGAAUUCCUGGUGUAGCGGUGAAAUGCGUAGAUAUCAGGAGGAAUACGGGUGGUUUAGCCGGCUCUCUGGACCGCCACUGACGCUGAGACACGAAAGCGUGGGUAGCAAACAGG